CACGUAGUUAGCCGGUGCUUAUUCUGCAGGUACCGUCAUUCAGCCCAGGUAUUAGCCAGGCCUAUUUCUUUCCUGCCAAAAGUGCUUUACAACCCGAAGGCCUUCAUCGCACACGCGGGAUGGCUGGAUCAGGGUUUCCCCCAUUGUCCAAAAUUCCCCACUGCUGCCUCCCGUAGGAGUCUGGGCCGUGUCUCAGUCCCAGUGUGGCUGGUCGUCCUCUCAAACCAGCUACGGAUCGUCGCCUUGGUAGGCCUUUACCCCACCAACUAGCUAAUCCGACAUCGGCCGCUCCAAUAGCGAGAGGUCCCGAAGGACUCCCCCCGUUUCCCCUAAGGGCGUAUGCGGUAUUAGCCACGCUUUCGCGUGGUUAUCCCCCACUACUGGGUACGUUCCGAUGCAUUACUCACCCGUUCGCCACUCGCCGCCAGGCCGAAGCCCGCGCUGCCGUUCGACUUGCAUGUGUAAGGCAUCCCGCUAGCGUUCAAUCUGAGCCAGGAUCAAACUC
RNAcentral lists this ribosomal RNA (505 nucleotides) under uncultured Alcaligenaceae bacterium. Its description in RNAcentral is "partial 16S ribosomal RNA". The record is from RNAcentral. Lineage: Bacteria; Pseudomonadati; Pseudomonadota; Betaproteobacteria; Burkholderiales; Alcaligenaceae.